CUGAGUACGGCGGAACACGUGAAAUUCCGUCGGAAUCCGGGAGGACCAUCUCCCAAGGCUAAAUACUCCCUAGUGACCGAUAGUGAACCAGUACCGUGAGGGAAAGGUGAAAAGCACCCCGGAAGGGGAGUGAAACAGUUCCUGAAACCGUGUGCCUACAAGUAGUUAGAGCCCGUUAAUGGGUGAUAGCGUGCCUUUUGUAGAAUGAACCGGCGAGUUACGAUUUGUUGCAAGGUUAAGCGGAAAAAGCGGAGCCGUAGCGAAAGCGAGUCUGAAUAGGGCGCAUAAGUAACAGGUCGUAGACCCGAAACCAGGUGAUCUACCCAUGUCCAGGAUGAAGGUAAGGUAAUACUUACUGGAGGUCCGAACCCACGCACGUUGAAAAGUGCGGGGAUGAGGUGUGGGUAGCGGAGAAAUUCCAAUCGAACUUGGAGAUAGCUGGUUCUCUCCGAAAUAGCUUUAGGGCUAGCCUCGAGGUAAAGAGUCAUGGAGGUAGAGCACUGUUUGGACUAGGGGCCCUUCUCGGGUUACCGAAUUCAGAUAAACUCCGAAUGCCAUGUACUUAUACUCGGGAGUCAG
RNAcentral lists this ribosomal RNA (579 nucleotides) under Listeria monocytogenes. RNAcentral describes it as "partial 23S ribosomal RNA". It matches the Rfam family "Bacterial large subunit ribosomal RNA", at positions 408 to 987 of the family's 2925-position model. Lineage: Bacteria; Bacillati; Bacillota; Bacilli; Caryophanales; Listeriaceae. The record is from RNAcentral.